This 492-nucleotide ribosomal RNA is filed under the name uncultured bacterium. Its description in RNAcentral is "partial 16S ribosomal RNA". It matches the Rfam family "Bacterial small subunit ribosomal RNA", at positions 29 to 507 of the family's 1533-position model. The record is from RNAcentral.
AGUGAACGCUGGCGGUAGGCCUAACACAUGCAAGUCGAACGGCAGCACAGUAAGAUCUUGCUCUUACGGGUGGCGAGUGGCGGACGGGUGAGGAAUACAUCGGAAUCUACUUUUUCGUGGGGGAUAACGUAGGGAAACUUACGCUAAUACCGCAUACGACCUACGGGUGAAAGCAGGGGAUCUUCGGACCUUGCGCGAUUGAAUGAGCCGAUGGCGGAUUAGCUAGUUGGCGGGGUAAAGGCCCACCAAGGCGACGAUCCGUGGCUGGUCUGAGAGGAUGAUCAGCCACACUGGAACUGAGACACGGUCCAGACUCCUACGGGAGGCAGCAGUGGGGAAUAUUGGACAAUGGGCGCAAGCCUGAUCCAGCCAUACCGCGUGGGUGAAGAAGGCCUUCGGGUUGUAAAGCCCUUUUGUUGGGAAAGAAAAGCAGCAGGUUAAUACCCCGCUGUUCUGACGGUACCCAAAGAAUAAGCACCGGCUAACUUCGUG